RNAcentral lists this unclassified non-coding RNA (454 nucleotides) under Serratia odorifera. RNAcentral describes it as "partial contains 16S ribosomal RNA, 16S-23S ribosomal RNA intergenic spacer, and 23S ribosomal RNA". The stretch from base 313 to 447 matches the Rfam family "Salmonella enterica Typhi npcRNA 44". Lineage: Bacteria; Pseudomonadati; Pseudomonadota; Gammaproteobacteria; Enterobacterales; Yersiniaceae. The record is from RNAcentral.
CCUAAUGAUAUUGAUUGCGUGAAGUGCUCACACAGAUUGUCUGAUGAAAAAGUAAUGAGCAAAAGCGCUACCUGUUGAUGUAAUGAGUCUCUGACUCAUGCUGAUACGAACCGAUUAAGACGUUCAGUUUAAUCGGAUUUUCGUGUCCCCAUCGUCUAGAGGCCUAGGACACUGCCCUUUCACGGCUGUAACAGGGGUUCGAAUCCCCUUGGGGACGCCAAUCCGAUAAUGAGUGAAAGACAUUAUCACCGGUUAGUCAUAACCGAAAAAAUCUUAAAGAUGACUCUUGCGAGUCGUGUUUAAGAUAUUGCUCUUUAACAAUCUGGAACAAGCUGAAAAUUGAAACAUGACAGCUGAAACUUACUCCUCCGUAGAAGUACUGGAGUAAGGAGUACCCUGUCAUAGAGUCUCUCAAAUGUAGCAGCACGAAAGUGGAAACACCUUCGGGUUGUGA